UACGUAGGGGGCAAGCGUUGUCCGGAUUCAUUGGGCGUAAAGGGCGCGCAGGCGGCUCGGAAAGUCGGGUGUGAAAACUCGGGGCUCAACCCCGGGCGUGCAUCCGAUACUGCCGGGCUUGAGGCAGGUAGGGGAGAUCGGAAUUCCUGGUGUAGCGGUGAAAUGCGCAGAUAUCAGGAGGAACACCGGUGGCGAAGGCGGAUCUCUGGGCCUGUCCUGACGCUGAGGCGCGAAAGCUAGGGGAGCGAACAGG
This 253-nucleotide ribosomal RNA is filed under the name uncultured bacterium. RNAcentral's name for it is "partial 16S ribosomal RNA". It matches the Rfam family "Bacterial small subunit ribosomal RNA", at positions 524 to 776 of the family's 1533-position model. The record is from RNAcentral.